UUCACCGAGGGAUGUUCAGGUUUACUUUAUGAAAUAGAUGCUCGAGAUACUUAAUGGUCUGAAAAUGCGAUAAUUUCCAAUUCAAAGGUUUAUAUUGGUCAACCAGAUCUUAAUCGUAUCAUUGUUUUCCAUACGCAACAAUUAAACGUUGUCCAUGUUAUUGGAACUGACCCAAGACCUAAUCAUCUUUGGCUGGUCUGAGGAGAAGUUGAAGAUCGCAUUUGGAUUCUUAAUUCUGGAACAGACGAUUUAAUCGGAGGUAAAAUUAUUAAUUCUAAUGGCGAAAAUUCUGAACCUGAAAACUUUGGCUGGGAUUCAAUCUCUCGAGAUCAACAACGACACAAUAGGAAAACUGUCCAAAUAAUCCGAAUAACCCAAUCAGACCGAAAUCAUAAUGUUAUCCACUUUAAACCGAUUGAUGGUCAUUUUGAUUUAGUUUAUAAUCUUUUCAUACCUCAACCAUCAACGGUUGAAAUACACAAUUCACACGGCAAUUCAAGAUUUGCAUAUGUUACCCAUUGGGAUGAAAGGACUUUAAUUAAAAUUGACAUGGAACAAUUUCGCUAUGUAAAAACAAUUAAUCUCGCUGAUUGUCAACCAAUUAACGCUGUUUUUACUGAUUAUGGUUUAACCAUAUUACAAUGUCAAACUCCAGUUACUCAUCAAUUGAAUGGUCAAUUAAUUUUGGAUCAAUUAACUGAUUCAAUAAUAAGUUAUAAUGCUCACAUCAAAGCUCAUCAUUCAUUUAUAUCACCAAGUCAUCAAUUCUUGGUCAACUUUGAUACUUGGCUAUUAUUGUUGUUUG
This is a long non-coding RNA of Panonychus citri (citrus red mite), 805 nucleotides long. RefSeq lists it as uncharacterized. The transcript is spliced from 3 exons. The record is from RefSeq and is a predicted model, not a curated record. Lineage: Eukaryota; Metazoa; Arthropoda; Arachnida; Trombidiformes; Tetranychidae.